RNAcentral lists this long non-coding RNA (320 nucleotides) under Fukomys damarensis (Damara mole-rat). RNAcentral's name for it is "lncRNA (ENSFDAG00000028116.1)". Lineage: Eukaryota; Metazoa; Chordata; Mammalia; Rodentia; Bathyergidae. The record is from RNAcentral.
UGAUAUUCCUUAAAAAGAAACUGCUGUUAUUUACUUCAUAUGUCUCACUAGUUUUCUUCAACAAAAAGAAAAAAUGAGAGAGAGGAAGAGAGAAAUAGAGAGGAAGAGACAGAGACAGAGAAACAGAGAGAGAAGAGAACCUCCCAAACUUCAAAUUAGAGACAAGAGAGAAAAGAGCCAGCAGGAAGAUAGAACACAAAGAGAACAAAACCAAGGAAGUGUUCAAAGAACCCGCUGAAUACACUGCACAUCUCAACCACAGAAAUAUUUUCAGGUGAUUUUGGGUUUUUUUUUUAACAAAACGUGGGAACCACAGGAUC